CUAGGCGGGCAUCCAAGUGACAUUUACAGGCCAUUUCUAUGGAAAUAGAUCUCUUACCUAGACACCAUUUUUAAUGAACUAAACAUACCGAUAGGGCGUGUUUGAUAACAGGAAGUUGCUUCUCAGAAACAGGAACUUACCUGUGUAGCAUUUUUGUGCUUGAUAAAAGUUGGUAAGUUUAAUACGGGAACUUCCUAUUGCUGUAGAACUUGGCCCUCUUAAGCAUAAAGAAAGUUCGGUCCAAAUCGACGGAAGUUAGAAAGGGAAGAUUAGAGGGGAACUUCAUCCCAAUAAAGAAGGUCAAGACACCUCCAUGAAAAAAGCCCCUUUCUAAAACCCUAGCCGUUUCUUCUCCCUGAGCACCAUAGCCGCAUACCAUUUCGCAGCUCUCUCUCUCCCUUUAACCUGUUGUCUCUCUAUGUCCUCUCUCUAACCCCAUCUCUAUCUCUCUAACCCUCUCUCUCUCUCUCUGUCUCUAACUUGUUGUCCCUUACUUCACUACCCCACUGUAGUGCCUCUCUCCUCUGAGAAGAAAAAGCAGGCAAGGAAGAAAAUAUAAAACAAAUAAGAGGAAGGCAAGUUCUUUGUGGUUUCCUUAUUUUUGUAAGUAACAUAUCGUUUGGUUCUCAUAUGGGUUUUAUGUCUUAUUUAAUUGCAGGGGGAAUUUUUGGUUUCAAUUGGUAUUGCGAUUAUUUGUCAUUUUAACGUUUGUUGCUGUUUAAAAUGUUUUUAGGUUAGACUUUCCUCUUUCAUCUCCAUGAAAAUUCAUGUGCUUUUACAAGUGCAUGUACUUGAAAAUUUAUUAUCAUUGGCCCGUCUAAGUUUAAUGAUGGAUUCUAACUGUUAUAUUUAUUUAUUUAUCUUAUUAUCUUCUCUCUCGGGACUUUUAAUGCUGUAAUAUAUAGCUUUUUGUGAGUUUUAUUGAUGUCGAACUAUUAUCAUGGAUCCGAUGAACUGGUCCUAAGCAGAGUGAAACAAUAAUACGUUUAAUCCAAGCUCAUAAAAUAAGAAAAUAUUUUUAAUCAAGUUAGAUCUCCAAUGUUAUCCUAUUUCUCAAAAAAAAAAAUAAAAAAAAUUCAAGCUUUACAUAUGGAAGCUAAUCCACAGAUAAUACUAUUAUAUCUUUUAUUGAUGCUAGCUCUCAUCAUAUAUACAUAUUAUCAUUUUAAUGUGGCUGCAUUUCCUUAGACUCUUCUUGAAAUUGAUAAAAUCUAAAUGGUUUUUGUUUUUUUUAGUGUAAUGGGUUCAACAUUUUUGGAUAAAAGCAUGAAUUUGAUUGAAAGAGAAAAGGGAACAAGAUGUUUAGAUGUCAUCAAGGUAAUGGCCAUACAUAUUUGUAUAUCUUUCUAGGAUCAAUAUUUUUAGUCAACCGGAAGUAAUUCUGAAAAUGGUAUCAAAUCAUCACUUGGUUAACUAGUCAAUGGGCUUUUUAUAUUGAUUGGGUGCCUUCCAAGUAUUGCAUACGAAUGAUAGAUUUAGAGUAAAUUGUGUUCCUUAAAACACAAUUUAUUGGAGAUUGAGAAAACCCAUAUCCCCAAAGGACUGACUAACAGAGCUAGUAACACCCUUUUAAGAAAUGGAAGAAGGUUUGUCUCAAAGAUGGAACCAUUCUUUUUCUUGUAAAUGUUAGCCUCAGUGAUGGAACCGUAUGCAUAUUGGUUGUCUCUAAGCUGAUAGUUGGGGUUCCCUUAACUGAUUAGUUAAAAGUUAAUCUGGUCUGUCCAGGAGGUGGGGGACCAACAAACUGGAAUUAUAAAGGGCAUGAGCUAGGUCUUGGUUCAAGCCUAUUGGUAGAAAGUAAACCAGGGUAGUUGGUUCUCAGUGGUUUGAUUGGGAUCAGCAAGUAGAUGUCCCAAGAGAGCAUAAUGAACAUGCUCCCCAUACUCUUGAUUGCUUAUUGAUAUCCAUACAUUUGUAUUUAGCUAUGUUGAUUAUACAUUUCUAAUAUAAGGGCACUUCCUCUUAAUUGCUCUUAGUUACUCAAAAUUCUUAGAUCAAAGCUCUUAGUUACUCAAAAUUCUCUCACCUAGUUCUAUUUGGGAUAAAACCCCUAGGUCUUCACAAUUCAUGAAUCUCUCCCACGUUUCUCUUUUGAGAUGGAUGAGUGGUGAUGUAAGGAAUGGUAAAAUUCGGUGACUGUAUAAAGUAUAUUGGAGGAUAGCCUAUAAUGAUGUAUACAAUGGAUGUGUAGUGUUAGAUGAUUAUAUAGAAUAUAAUAAAUCCAUUGUUUUUGUAAUAUAUAGUAUAUUUUUUUGUAGUUUUACAAGUUUAGGUACAAUGUUCACACAAAUUCAAUACAUACGUUUGUUCUCUUUACAGGAGUUUACUUUUGUGACAAAGUACAAAAGCAAAUCUUUGCCUGUAUACUUCAACGAAUUGGAGAAGAUAUCUUGCACGGAUGCUUCGGAUUGAAGCUAUGUGGAGGGAGAAAGAAAUAGGCCUCGAUGUCUCCAUCAAGGCAUCUCGGCUUCUCAAGAUUGUCUUCCUAAGCAUCUAGUCUUUGCUUUCAUUAAAGUUAUAAUUGUUGUCUAAAUCUUUUUUCUUUAAUGUUGGGAACAUUGUGGGACAGACAACAAUGUUAUUUUAUUGUUUAAUGAGAUAUAUUUUUUAGGUUGGGAUAUUGAUGCAUGAGUGGUAAAAGUAUGUCCAAGUUGUAUUUAAGCUAUUACAUGUUAUUGUUG
RNAcentral lists this long non-coding RNA (2681 nucleotides) under Amborella trichopoda. Its description in RNAcentral is "long non-coding RNA (ATRI_LNC002793)". Lineage: Eukaryota; Viridiplantae; Streptophyta; Magnoliopsida; Amborellales; Amborellaceae. The record is from RNAcentral.